GAUGAACGCUAGCGGCAGGCCUAACACAUGCAAGUCGAGGGGCAGCACAGGUAGCAAUACUGGGUGGCGACCGGCGGAUGGGUGCGUAACGCGUAUGCAACCUACCAUUGAUUGGGGCAUAGCCCGAAGAAAUUCGGACUUAAUACUCCAUAAUAUUCAUCAAAGGCAUCUUUUAUGAAUUAAAGCUUUUGCGAUCAAUGAUGGGCAUGCGUGACAUUAGUUAGUUGGUGAGGUAACGGCUCACCAAAACGAUGAUGUCUAGGGGUUCUGAGAGGAUUAUCCCCCACACUGGUACUGAGACACGGACCAGACUCCUACGGGAGGCAGCAGUGAGGAAUAUUGGUCAAUGGACGCAAGUCUGAACCAGCCAUGCCGCGUGCAGGAUGACGGCCCUAUGGGUUGUAAACUGCUUUUCCACGGGAAGAACCCUCCGACGUGUCGGAGACUGACGGUACCGUGGGAAUAAGCAUCGGCUAACUCCGUG
RNAcentral lists this ribosomal RNA (484 nucleotides) under uncultured bacterium. Its description in RNAcentral is "bacterial SSU rRNA". It matches the Rfam family "Bacterial small subunit ribosomal RNA", at positions 28 to 507 of the family's 1533-position model. The record is from RNAcentral.